ACUGAUGCAGCAACGCGCGUGGAGGAUGACACAUUUCGGUGCGUAAACUCCUUUUAUAUGAGAAGAUAAUGACGGUAUUAUAUGAUAAGCACCGGCUAACUCCGUGCCAGCAGCCGCGGUAAUACGGGGGGGUGCAAGCGUUACUCGGAAUCACUGGGGCGUAAAGAGCAUGUAGGCGGAUUAAUAAGUUUGAAGUGAAAUCCUAUAGCUUAACUAUAGAACUGCUUUGAAAACUGUUAAUCUAGAAUGUGGGAGAGGUAGAUGGAAUUUUCUGGUGUAGGGGGUAAAAUCCGUAGAGAUCAGAAGGAAUACCGAUUGCGAAGGCGAUCUACUGGAACAUUAUUGACGCUGAGAUGCGAAAGCGUGGGGAGCAAACAGGAUUAGAUACCCUGGUAGUCCACGCCCUAAACGAUGUACACUAGUUGUUGUGAGACUUGAUCUUGCAGUAAUGCAGUUAACACAUUAAGUGUACCGCCUGGGGAGUACGGUCGCAAGAUUAAAACUCAAAGGAAUAGACGGGGA
This 522-nucleotide ribosomal RNA is filed under the name uncultured bacterium. RNAcentral's name for it is "bacterial SSU rRNA". It matches the Rfam family "Bacterial small subunit ribosomal RNA", at positions 382 to 919 of the family's 1533-position model. The record is from RNAcentral.